UAGGGAAUCUUCCACAAUGGACGCAAGCCUGAUGGAGCAACGCCGCGUGAGUGAAGAAGGUUUUCGGAUCGUAAAGCUCUGUUGUUGGUGAAGAAGGAUAGAGGCAGUAACUGGUCUUUAUUUGACGGUAAUCAACCAGAAAGUCACGGCUAACUACGUGCCAGCAGCCGCGGUAAUACGUAGGUGGCAAGCGUUGUCCGGAUUUAUUGGGCGUAAAGCGAGCGCAGGCGGAAUGAUAAGUCUGAUGUGAAAGCCCACGGCUCAACCGUGGAACUGCAUCGGAAACUGUCAUUCUUGAGUGCAGAAGAGGAGAGUGGAAUUCCAUGUGUAGCGGUGGAAUGCGUAGAUAUAUGGAAGAACACCAGUGGCGAAGGCGGCUCUCUGGUCUGCAACUGACGCUGAGGCUCGAAAGCAUGGGUAGCAAACAGG
This 429-nucleotide ribosomal RNA is filed under the name Acidobacteriota bacterium. RNAcentral describes it as "Acidobacteria bacterium partial 16S ribosomal RNA". It matches the Rfam family "Bacterial small subunit ribosomal RNA", at positions 355 to 776 of the family's 1533-position model. Lineage: Bacteria; Pseudomonadati; Acidobacteriota. The record is from RNAcentral.